UACGGAGGGUGCAAGCGUUAUCCGGAUUCACUGGGUUAAGGUGCGUAGGUGGGCAAGUAAGUCAGUGGUGAAAUCUCCGGGCUUAACCCGGAAACUGCCAUUGAUACUAUUGUCUUGAAUACUGUGGAGGUCAGCGGAAUAUGUCAUGUAGCGGUGAAAUGCUUAGAUAUGACAUAGAACACCAAUUGCGAAGGCAGCUGGCUACACAAAUAUUGACACUGAGCACGAAAGCGUGGGGAGUCAAACAGG
RNAcentral lists this ribosomal RNA (249 nucleotides) under uncultured bacterium. Its description in RNAcentral is "partial 16S ribosomal RNA". It matches the Rfam family "Bacterial small subunit ribosomal RNA", at positions 524 to 776 of the family's 1533-position model. The record is from RNAcentral.